CGGGACGGGUGAGUAAUGUCUGGGGAAACUGCCUGAUGGAGGGGGAUAACUACUGGAAACGGUAGCUAAUACCGCAUAACGUCGCAAGACCAAAGAGGGGACCUUAGGGCCUCUUGCCAUCGGAUGUGCCCAGAUGGGAUUAGCUAGUAGGUGGGGUAACGGCUCACCUAGGCGACGAUCCCUAGCUGGUCUGAGAGGAUGACCAGCCACACUGGAACUGAGACACGGUCCAG
RNAcentral lists this ribosomal RNA (233 nucleotides) under uncultured bacterium. RNAcentral describes it as "partial 16S ribosomal RNA". It matches the Rfam family "Bacterial small subunit ribosomal RNA", at positions 100 to 334 of the family's 1533-position model. The record is from RNAcentral.